ACAAGAGGAAACUCCUCUCCCUGAAGUGAACUGAAAAGGCUUAAGUUGGAAACUGACUGAAGUAAUGGCAGUAAUAAA
This is a non-coding RNA of Sturnus vulgaris (Common starling), 78 nucleotides long. NCBI's taxonomy places the organism in Eukaryota, Metazoa, Chordata, Aves, Passeriformes, Sturnidae. The record is from RefSeq and is a predicted model, not a curated record.